CCAGCUUCCAUCUUCAUUUAUAAUUACCCCUAAAUGCUUGUGCGACUCAACUUCUUUUAUGAUAUUAUUAUUCAUAUACACUGGCGGGUGGUGGGGUUUAUGAUGCCUCUUUGAAAUGGUCAUUAUUUCUGUUUUGUUAGGGUUGAAAUUGACAAGCCAUUGCUUAGACCAAUUAUGUAUUUUCUCAAUAUCUUUAUUUAGCUUUUC
Molecule: long non-coding RNA, 207 nt
Filed under: Mytilus galloprovincialis (Mediterranean mussel)
Lineage: Eukaryota; Metazoa; Mollusca; Bivalvia; Mytilida; Mytilidae
Source: RNAcentral